Molecule: small nuclear RNA, 107 nt
Organism: Balaenoptera musculus (blue whale)
Lineage: Eukaryota; Metazoa; Chordata; Mammalia; Artiodactyla; Balaenopteridae
Source: Ensembl
GUGCUCCCUUCAGGAGCAUAUAUACUAAAAUUGGAAUGAUACAGAGAAGAUUGGCAUGGCUCCUGGGCAAGGAUGACAUGCAAAUUUGUGAAGUGUUCCCAUAUUUU